RNAcentral lists this ribosomal RNA (254 nucleotides) under uncultured bacterium. RNAcentral describes it as "partial 16S ribosomal RNA". It matches the Rfam family "Bacterial small subunit ribosomal RNA", at positions 524 to 776 of the family's 1533-position model. The record is from RNAcentral.
UACGUAGGGACCAAGCGUUGUUCGGAUUUACUGGGCGUAAAGGGCGCGUAGGCGGCAAUUCAAGUCAGCUGUGAAAUCUCCGGGCUUAACUCGGAACGGUCAGCUGAUACUGCUUUGCUAGAGUGCAGAAGGGGCAAUCGGAAUUCUCGGUGUAGCGGUGAAAUGCGUAGAUAUCGAGAGGAACACCUGCGGCGAAGGCGGGUUGCUGGGCUGAUACUGACGCUGAGGCGCGAAAGCUAGGGGGAGCGAACGGG